This 434-nucleotide ribosomal RNA is filed under the name uncultured Clostridium sp. Its description in RNAcentral is "partial 16S ribosomal RNA". It matches the Rfam family "Bacterial small subunit ribosomal RNA", at positions 341 to 792 of the family's 1533-position model. The record is from RNAcentral. Lineage: Bacteria; Bacillati; Bacillota; Clostridia; Eubacteriales; Clostridiaceae.
ACGGAAGGCAGCAGUGGGGAAUAUUGCACAAUGGGGGAAACCCUGAUGCAGCGACGCCGCGUGAGUGAAGAAGUAUUUCGGUAUGUAAAGCUCUAUCAGCAGGGAAGAAAAUGACGGUACCUGACUAAGAAGCCCCGGCUAACUACGUGCCAGCAGCCGCGGUAAUACGUAGGGGGCAAGCGUUAUCCGGAUUUACUGGGUGUAAAGGGAGCGUAGACGGCAUGGCAAGUCUGAUGUGAAAGCCCGGAGCUCAACUGCGGGUGUGCAUUGGAAACUGUCGAGCUAGAGUGCAGGAGAGGUAAGUGGAAUUCCUAGUGUAGCGGUGAAAUGCGUAGAUAUUAGGAGGAACACCAGUGGCGAAGGCGGCUUACUGGACUGUAACUGACGUUGAGGCUCGAAAGCGUGGGGAGCAAACAGGAUUAGAUACCCUGGUA